Molecule: ribosomal RNA, 252 nt
Filed under: uncultured bacterium
Lineage: Bacteria
Description: partial 16S ribosomal RNA
Rfam family: Bacterial small subunit ribosomal RNA
Source: RNAcentral
UACGUAGGGGGCAAGCGUUGUCCGGAUUUAUUGGGCGUAAAGAGCGUGUAGGCGCCAAGCAGGUCAGCUGUGAAAACUCGAGGCUCAACCUCGAGACGUCGGUUGAAACCGCUUGGCUAGAGUCCGGAAGAGGAGAGUGGAAUUCCCGGUGUAGCGGUGAAAUGCGCAGAUAUCGGGAAGAACACCCGUGGCGAAGGCGGCUCUCUGGGACGGUACUGACGCUGAGACGCGAAAGCGUGGGGAGCGAACAGG